CAGCCGUAAACUAUGCUCGCUAGGUGUCAGGCAUGGCGCGACCGUGUCUGGUGCCGCAGGGAAGCCGUGAAGCGAGCCACCUGGGAAGUACGGCCGCAAGGCUGAAACUUAAAGGAAUUGGCGGGGAGCACAACAACGGGUGGAGCCUGCGGUUUAAUUGGACUCAACGCCGGGAAGCUCACCGGAUAAGACAGCGGAAUGAUUGCCGGGCUGAAGACUCUGCAUGACUAGCUGAGAGGAGGUGCAUGGCGUAGACGUCU
RNAcentral lists this ribosomal RNA (260 nucleotides) under uncultured archaeon. RNAcentral describes it as "partial 16S ribosomal RNA". It matches the Rfam family "Archaeal small subunit ribosomal RNA", at positions 748 to 1009 of the family's 1478-position model. The record is from RNAcentral.